This 250-nucleotide unclassified non-coding RNA is filed under the name plant metagenome. RNAcentral describes it as "partial contains small subunit ribosomal RNA, internal transcribed spacer 1, and 5.8S ribosomal RNA". The record is from RNAcentral.
GUAGGUGAACCUGCGGAAGGAUCAUUAACACAAAUCUUAACACUUAUCUGGGAUUUUUCCAAAUCCCAGGUAUUUCAACCCCCCUUUUUAAGCGAACACUGUUUGGGAACGCACGUACAUACGCCGUUCCCGCUUUUCUUCUUUUUUCACAAAAAACCCAAUUGAAACAUUCUGACUGAAAAAUUGUUCUACCGUGAAAGCGAUAGAAUACACUAUGAAUUGUGAAAAAACAACUCUUAGCAACGGAUAU